GACGAACCGUCCAAACGUUAUUCGGAAUCACUGGGCUUACAGAGUUCGUAGGCGGUCUGGCAAGUUGGGUGUGAAAUCCCUCGGCUCAACCGAGGAACUGCGCUUGAAACUACCAGACUCGAGGGAGAUAGAGGAAAGCGGAACUGAUGGUGGAGCGGUGAAAUGCGUUGAUAUCAUCAGGAACACCGGUGGCGAAGGCGGCUUUCUGGGUCUUACCUGACGCUGAGGAACGAAAGCUAGGGGAGCGAACGGG
Molecule: ribosomal RNA, 253 nt
Filed under: uncultured bacterium
Lineage: Bacteria
Description: partial 16S ribosomal RNA
Rfam family: Bacterial small subunit ribosomal RNA
Source: RNAcentral